RNAcentral lists this ribosomal RNA (164 nucleotides) under uncultured bacterium. Its description in RNAcentral is "partial 16S rRNA". It matches the Rfam family "Bacterial small subunit ribosomal RNA", at positions 355 to 511 of the family's 1533-position model. The record is from RNAcentral.
UAGGGAAUCUUCCACAAUGGACGAAAGUCUGAUGGAGCAACGCCGCAUGAGUGAAGAAGGGUUUCGGCUCGUAAAACUCUGUUGUUAAAGAAGAACAUAUCUGAGAGUAACUGUUCAGGUAUUGACGGUAUUUAACCAGAAAGCCACGGCUAACUACGUGCCAG